Massospora cicadina is the source of this 89-nucleotide non-coding RNA. NCBI's taxonomy places the organism in Eukaryota, Fungi, Entomophthoromycota, Entomophthoromycetes, Entomophthorales, Entomophthoraceae. The record is from the annotation of a GenBank genome assembly.
GUUAAAAACAAGCACUUGAAUUAUAAUGGUAGAAUACUUCUCUUCCAAAGAAGUGGCUUGGGUUUGAUUCCCAGAAGGUGAUUUUAACU